Etheostoma cragini (Arkansas darter) is the source of this 159-nucleotide long non-coding RNA. RefSeq lists it as uncharacterized. The record is from RefSeq and is a predicted model, not a curated record. The transcript has 3 exons. Lineage: Eukaryota; Metazoa; Chordata; Actinopteri; Perciformes; Percidae.
AGUACAACUAGUGGGAGACACAUUAUAAUUGAGGUAAGGUUGGAGACACUAGCUAAUUUAAUCAAUAAAUUAAUAAAUAAGCUUGUGUUAUCUCUUUUCGGUGUUGUAAUUUGUAGACGUCCCUAAGCAUUCUUACUGCCAGGUAGUAACAGCAUCAGC